This 348-nucleotide unclassified non-coding RNA is filed under the name soil metagenome. RNAcentral's name for it is "partial contains 5.8S ribosomal RNA, internal transcribed spacer 2, and large subunit ribosomal RNA". The stretch from base 1 to 120 matches the Rfam family "5.8S ribosomal RNA", at positions 35 to 154 of the family's 154-position model. The record is from RNAcentral.
GAUGAAGAACGUAGCGAAAUGCGAUAAGUAAUGUGAAUUGCAGAAUUCAGUGAAUCAUCGAGUCUUUGAACGCACAUUGCGCCCCCUGGUAUUCCCGGGGGCAUGCCUGUCCGAGCGUCAUUGCCGCCCUCAAGCACGGCUUGUGUGUUGGGCCCCCGCCCCCCGGCUUCGGGGGGCGGGCCCGAAAGGCAGCGGCGGCACCGCGUCCGGUCCUCGAGCGUAUGGGGCUUCGUCACCCGCUCUGUAGGCCCGGCCGGCGCCCGCCGGCGACCCCAAUCAAUCUUUCCAGGUUGACCUCGGAUCAGGUAGGGAUACCCGCUGAACUUAAGCAUAUCAAUAAGCGGAGGA